GACGAACGCUGGCGGCGUGCUUAACACAUGCAAGUCGAACGGAAAGGCCCUGCUUUUGUGGGGUGCUCGAGUGGCGAACGGGUGAGUAACACGUGAGUAACCUGCCCUUGACUUUGGGAUAACUUCAGGAAACUGGGGCUAAUACCGGAUAGGAGCUCCUGCUGCAUGGUGGGGGUUGGAAAGUUUCGGCGGUUGGGGAUGGACUCGCGGCUUAUCAGCUUGUUGGUGGGGUAGUGGCUUACCAAGGCUUUGACGGGUAGCCGGCCUGAGAGGGUGACCGGCCACAUUGGGACUGGGAUACGGCCCACACUCCUACGGGGGGCAGCAGUGGGGAAUAUUGCACAAUGGGCGGAAGCCUGAUGCAGCAACGCCGCGUGCGGGAUGACGGCCUUCGGGUUGUAAACCGCUUUCGCCUGUGACGAAGCGUGGGUGACGGUAAUGGGUAAAGAAGCACCGGCUACCUACGU
This 467-nucleotide ribosomal RNA is filed under the name uncultured bacterium. RNAcentral describes it as "partial 16S ribosomal RNA". It matches the Rfam family "Bacterial small subunit ribosomal RNA", at positions 28 to 506 of the family's 1533-position model. The record is from RNAcentral.